UUCCGUAGGGUGAACCUGCGGAAGGAUCAUUA
RNAcentral lists this ribosomal RNA (32 nucleotides) under Aspergillus aculeatus. RNAcentral describes it as "partial 18S ribosomal RNA". The record is from RNAcentral. Lineage: Eukaryota; Fungi; Ascomycota; Eurotiomycetes; Eurotiales; Aspergillaceae. RNAcentral also lists the same sequence under 14 other names.